This 529-nucleotide long non-coding RNA is filed under the name Glycine max (soybean). Its description in RNAcentral is "long non-coding RNA (GMAX_LNC001725)". The record is from RNAcentral. Lineage: Eukaryota; Viridiplantae; Streptophyta; Magnoliopsida; Fabales; Fabaceae.
GUGUCAGAUUUCUUAUACUUCUGAAUGCAUGUAUAAAUAUAAGUACUUAAUUAAUCUUCAGCCGUGUGAAUAAACAGAAACAAAAUGUAAUUAGCACAACCAAAAAAAAAAUGUAAUUAUUAGUAAAGGUUUAAGUAAUUUAUAUAUUGUAUGUCUCUGACCAAUAAGUUGUGUAUCCGAGUGUAACUAAUUUUUUUUAAGUAAAAUUUUAAAUUUAAGUGUUUUAAGUGAAGAAAAUAUGAAUAGAAAAGAAGAGCUUCAUUAAAGAUAUUCCGUCAAUUUUUAUAGCACAUCAUCGAGAAAAUUAGUGGAUGUUUCAUAUUAUGGUUAAAAAAAAUUAUAUGUUCAUGUAAAAAAAACAUACUAUAUAUCGCUGUCGUUGUAAAUAGUGUUAUUAGAUCGAUCUGCCAAGCAAUUGAAAUUUAUCUUUAGUGAGAAAAGAUAUUUAGAAGAGGGCAAUUUAAUUAAAAGCUGUUAAUGAAGAAUACAUAUAACUAAUUAGUUCUGCCAAGCAAUUGCCUGUAUUAAC